ACGGAAGGCAGCAGUGGGGAAUAUUGGACAAUGGGGGAAACCCUGAUCUAGCGACGCGCGUGAGUGAAGAAGUAUUUCGGUAUGUAAAGCUCUAUCAGCAAGGAAGAAAAUGACGGUACUUGACUAAGAAGCUCCGGCUAAAUACGUGCCAGCAGCCGCGGUAAUACGUAUGGAGCAAGCGUUAUCUGGAUUUACUGGGUGUAAAGGGAGCGUAGACGGCAAAGCAAGUCUGAAGUGAAAUCCCGGGGCUCAACCCCGGAACUGCUUUGGAAACUGUUUAGCUAGAGUGCAGGAGAGGUAAGCGGAAUUCCUAGUGUAGCGGUGAAAUGCGUAGAUAUUAGGAGGAACACCAGUGGCGAAGGCGUCUUACUGGACUGUAACUGACGUUGAGGCUCGAAAGCGUGGGGAGCAAACAGGAUUAGAUACCCUGGUA
This 433-nucleotide ribosomal RNA is filed under the name uncultured Clostridium sp. Its description in RNAcentral is "partial 16S ribosomal RNA". It matches the Rfam family "Bacterial small subunit ribosomal RNA", at positions 341 to 792 of the family's 1533-position model. Lineage: Bacteria; Bacillati; Bacillota; Clostridia; Eubacteriales; Clostridiaceae. The record is from RNAcentral.